AAGAUCCCUCUUCUCUGACUCCCGCUCCCGGUCUCUGUCGUGGUUGGUUACUGAAGAGCUCCGUUCGGAAUCCCCCGGCUUAGGCCACUGUGGAGGUGUCGGGAACGAAGUUGCCUUGAAACAGGAACUGCAGGAACUUUGGUGAGUGGCCUAAGAGAUGUUAGCUUCCAUGUAAAUAUAGCACUGCCCAGUGCCCACACCAUGUUCCUGAUUAACCACUGCAGCAGACUGUGAUCUUGUGCGGUUUAACCUUGAACCAAACAGUUUCUCCUGUAGGUCUCAUGGUAUUUUACAGCAAGAUGGUAUUAUACAGUUUGGUAAUGAAGAUGGAAACCAGAAGAACACACUAUCAGUGUAUCAGAGGUUGUCUCAUUACAGGCAGCCUUGUAGCAAAACCUGUACUAUCUUUUGAUGUCAGAGGUAUUCUACAACAGUGAUAGUUCCAUAGGGUUUGUGCAUCUCUUUCAGAUGAGAUGUAAAACUGAGGUCCUGACCACUUGUGGUCAUUAGCGAUCCUUUGGAGUUCUUCACAAGAAUAGGAACAUUAACCAUGGUGUUCUGGCCAAAUUCCAAGCUAGGUAAUUACAUAAUUCCUUCCUAAAUUCCACCCCCUGCCCACCCUUCUGCCUGGAUUCAACUGGAGAACUUAUUCUUCCAUUCCUGUACUUAAUUUGUGUAAUCUUUUAGUUGAGAUAGGUCAUUUGUUAUGGAUUCUACACUAUUUACAAAAAAAGGCUCACAGAGGCUUGAUAAACCACUGAAAAGUUCCUUUAGCUUCCAUUAAACUAUCUUGUGAAGUCCUUAAUCACAGUGGUAAGUAGUUAUUCACUCCCAUCGACUUCAUGCGAGUGACUCCUCAUGUGAAUAACUGCUCACCAGUGCGAGUAAAUGCACACCCUGGCCCCAAGUUUCUUGCUGGUCUGUUGCAAAACUGAUCUUCCAAAUGCAAACAGUGCAUAACUGACACAGUGCUGGUUCCUGAAGCCCUUUAAUAAACAGUGAUUCCGCAGAUCAUUUCUUAUCUCUCUGCAGAGAUGUUUAGAAAUGACAGGAGAUCUAUAAAACCACGUCACUUAGGAAGUUAUAAACACGCUUUAUCACAACAAGACCGAGUGUCACUUUUAUAAGAAUGUCAUCAAUAAUCUCUGUGUACUAUGGAUUUUUUCUGUUGGAAUGGAUGUAAACGUUUUCAGUACACUUUCUAAAUUUAAAAAAAGAAUGUUAAGUUUGAAAAAAGUAUGUGCCAUGGAGU
Long non-coding RNA from Mauremys mutica (yellowpond turtle), 1252 nucleotides. RefSeq lists it as uncharacterized. Lineage: Eukaryota; Metazoa; Chordata; Testudines; Geoemydidae. The record is from RefSeq and is a predicted model, not a curated record. The transcript has 4 exons.